Long non-coding RNA from Rosa rugosa (rugosa rose), 931 nucleotides. RefSeq lists it as uncharacterized. The transcript is spliced from 3 exons. Lineage: Eukaryota; Viridiplantae; Streptophyta; Magnoliopsida; Rosales; Rosaceae. The record is from RefSeq and is a predicted model, not a curated record.
UGUGAUGUAAUAUGGUAGAGUUUUUAACUGAUGCAUGUGAUGUAAUAUGGCAGUUCCAAUACAUUGAAUAUUGGAACUGGGUUAACGAGAUGAUUACUUUGUGGCAAUUUAAUCUUUGAUUGUUGAGAAGAAAAAGGUGAUUACUUUGUGGAAGUUGAUGUGUGUGUGAAAAUGGGGAGGUAAGUUAUUCUGUUACUUAGGUUGGACUUGCAAGGAUAGGUGUUUAUUAUAUGUCAGAAUGGUCACUCAAUUCAGCAAUUUUUUACAUGCCAAUGAGCAGAAUUAAAAAGUUUCUUUGGCUUCUGUAGAAAACAAGGAAGGGUAGGAGACUAGGAAAUGGAGGAUUUCAAACAUUUUUACCUAAACACUUGGUGAUUUAAUUUUGCUCCGCUGUUCAAGCCAUUCUUUUGCAUAUAUCAACAGAGGGAAAAGGGUUUUUCUUAAUGUUAUUUGAUUUGAAUUUUUUUUUUUUGAAUUAUAAAACACAAUUAUGACAUGAUUACUGUCAUGUCAAAAGGGUGAACUCAUUGUUAAGGUGGUUGAAUUUCCAUAGAGACAGCUCUACGAUAUUCAAUAUGUAGACCCAUAAUAUUAUUUUCGUUUGGUGCAGAACGUCUUCAGUUUUGCUUUUGGGCCUAGAGUUAAUUCAAUUAAAAUUAUAUCUUCUUCUGUUUUAGAAUGUUUCAUAAUAAUCACUUUGAUUUGUGUUUUGUCUAGAAUCUCUUCUUUCUUGCUUCUGGGGCCUUCUUAUUUGCUGAUCUCGCAUUGUUCUUUUACAUGGAACUCCAGGGACUAGAAAAACCGCUUUAUGUAAAGCAUUAGCUCAAAAACUAUCCAUCUGAUUUAACUCCAGAUACCUACAGUCCCAAUUGCUUCAAAUUAAUGCACAUUCUCUAUUCAGCAAAUGAUACUCUGAAAAUGGCAAGCUGGU